AUGGCGGACGGGGACGAGCAUGAGCAUGGCGCGCCGGGCCGGCUGGAGAGCAUCCUGACGGACUCGUCGGCGCCGCUGGCGGGGCGCGUGUGGGCGGCGGGGGCGAUCGAGCUCGGCAUGCUCUUGCGGCUGGCGGCGCCGGCGGUGGUCAUGUACAUGAUCAACUACCUCAUGUCCAUGUCCACGCAGAUCUUCUCCGGCCACCUCGGGAGCCUGGAGCUCGCCGCCGCCUCCCUCGGCAACACCGGCGUCCAGAUGUUCGCCUACGGCCUCAUGCUAGGCAUGGGUAGCGCAGUGGAGACCCUGUGCGGACAAGCCUUCGGUGCGCAAAAGUACGACAUGCUCGGAACCUACCUACAACGCUCCGCCGUGCUCCUCUGCUGCACCGGCAUACCGCUCGCCGCGAUCUACGCCUUCUCGGAGCCGCUCCUCGUGCUACUGGGACAGUCACCGGAGAUCGCCCACGCCGCGUCCAUCUUCGUCUACGGCCUCAUCCCUCAGAUCUUCGCGUACGCCAUCAACUUCCCGAUCCAGAAGUUCAUGCAGGCGCAGAGCAUCGUCCUCCCCAGCGCCUACAUCUCCACGGGCACGCUCGUGCUGCACCUGCUGCUCAGCUGGGUCGUCGUCUACAAGGCCGGCCUCGGCCUGCUCGGCGCCUCGCUGGUGCUCAGCCUCAGCUGGUGGGUCAUCGUCGCGGCGCAGUUCGCGUACAUCGCCGUGAGCCCGACCUGCCGGGAGACGUGGACCGGGUUCACCUGGCAGGCCUUCUCCGGCUUGCCGGCCUUCCUCAAGCUCUCCGCGGCGUCUGCUGUCAUGUUGUGCCUGGAGACGUGGUACUUUCAGAUCCUGGUGCUCAUUGCUGGCUUGCUCCCCAACCCUGAGAUUGCUCUGGAUUCCCUUUCUGUGUGCAUGACAAUCUCCGGUUGGGUGUUCAUGAUCUCAGUAGGUUUCAACGCCGCCGCAAGUGUAAGAGUUAGCAAUGAGCUUGGUGCCGGCAACCCCAAGUCAGCAUUUUUCUCAGUGUGGGUCGUCACUUCGCUCUGUGCAGCCAUCUCUGUUGUCUUUGCCAUUGUGAUGCUCUGCCUACGCAACCACAUCAGCUACUUGUUCACAGAGAGUGAAAUAGUUUCCGAAGCGGUGGCGGAUCUCUGCCCGCUCCUCGCCAUCACACUCAUUCUCAAUGGCAUACAACCUGUACUAUCAGGUGUUGCUGUUGGAUGUGGAUGGCAACAAUUUGUUGCAUACGUGAACAUUGGUUGUUACUACAUCGUAGGCGUACCCCUUGGAAUUGUUCUCGGUUUUGUCUUCAACCUCGGCGUAAAGGGCAUUUGGGGUGGCAUGAUUGGAGGAACGACUAUGCAGACGGCCAUUCUAUUGUGGGUCACCAUCAGAACCGAUUGGAGCAAAGAGGUUGAGGAAGCGCAUAAAAGAUUGAACAAGUGGGAUGAUACCAAGAAACAGCCCCUCCUUACGGCGGCCACAGAUAAUAGCUAA
RNAcentral lists this ribosomal RNA (1494 nucleotides) under Triticum aestivum (bread wheat). RNAcentral's name for it is "partial small subunit ribosomal RNA". Lineage: Eukaryota; Viridiplantae; Streptophyta; Magnoliopsida; Poales; Poaceae. The record is from RNAcentral.